GAUGAACGCUGGCGGCGUGCCUAAUACAUGCAAGUCGAGCGAACAGACGAGAAGCUUGCUUCUCUGAUGUUAGCGGCGGACGGGUGAGUAACACGUGGAUAACCUACCUAUAAGACUGGGAUAACUUCGGGAAACCGGAGCUAAUACCGGAUAAUAUUUUGAACCGCAUGGUUCAAUAGUAAAAGACGGUCUUGCUGUCACUUAUAGAUGGAUCCGCGCUGCAUUAGCUAGUUGGUAAGGUAACGGCUUACCAAGGCAACGAUGCAUAGCCGACCUGAGAGGGUGAUCGGCCACACUGGAACUGAGACACGGUCCAGACUCCUACGGGAGGCAGCAGUAGGGAAUCUUCCGCAAUGGGCGAAAGCCUGACGGAGCAACGCCGCGUGAGUGAUGAAGGUCUUCGGAUCGUAAAACUCUGUUAUUAGGGAAGAACAAAUGUGUAAGUAACUGUGCACAUCUUGACGGUACCUAAUCAGAAAGCCACGGCUAACUACGUG
RNAcentral lists this ribosomal RNA (497 nucleotides) under uncultured bacterium. RNAcentral's name for it is "partial 16S ribosomal RNA". It matches the Rfam family "Bacterial small subunit ribosomal RNA", at positions 28 to 507 of the family's 1533-position model. The record is from RNAcentral.